GAUGAACGCUGGCGGCGUGCCUAAUACAUGCAAGUCGAGCGAACAGACGAGGAGCUUGCUCCUCUGACGUUAGCGGCGGACGGGUGAGUAACACGUGGAUAACCUACCUAUAAGACUGGGAUAACUUCGGGAAACCGGAGCUAAUACCGGAUAAUAUGUUGAACCGCAUGGUUCAAUAGUGAAAGACGGUUUUGCUGUCACUUAUUGAUGGAUCCGCGCCGCAUUAGCUAGUUGGUAAGGUAACGGCUUACCAAGGCAACGAUGCGUAGCCGACCUGAGAGGGUGAUCGGCCACACUGGAACUGAGACACGGUCCAGACUCCUACGGGAGGCAGCAGUAGGGAAUCUUCCGCAAUGGGCGAAAGCUUGACGGAGCAACGCCGCGUGAGUGAUGAAGGUCUUCGGAUCGUAAAACUCUGUUAUUAGGGAAGAACAAAUGUGUAAGUAACUAUGCACGUCUUGACGGUACCUAAUCAGAAAGCCACGGCUAACUACGUG
This 497-nucleotide ribosomal RNA is filed under the name uncultured bacterium. Its description in RNAcentral is "partial 16S ribosomal RNA". It matches the Rfam family "Bacterial small subunit ribosomal RNA", at positions 28 to 507 of the family's 1533-position model. The record is from RNAcentral.